RNAcentral lists this unclassified non-coding RNA (511 nucleotides) under Hevea brasiliensis (rubber tree). The record is from RNAcentral. Lineage: Eukaryota; Viridiplantae; Streptophyta; Magnoliopsida; Malpighiales; Euphorbiaceae.
AUUACCUGAUAAAACCGAGAGUACUUCUCUUGUCUUACAUAACAACCAUUUAGUGAAAUUAAUUUUAUUGCUGAUUAAGAUGAAACAUUGCAUCUCCUAAAGAUAAGCAAUCUGUUGCCUAUCACAGAAUGAUCUCAGGAUUGAGAUUAGUGGAGGAAUGAGAGAAUUAUCUUGUUCACAAAAUCAUCAUUCUUGGCUGUGGCAUUGUGAAUGCCUUUCAAUACCUCUUGAAAAAAGGUCUACAAACAGAAACUCUGAUCCUCCCAAGCACCAUUAAAGAACGAAAGACUAAGACUCCUGUGAGGUUUUCGUUUUAUGGCAAUAGAACUGAAGUUAGAACAUAUGAAGCCAAGGAUUUCAGGUCAUUGAUACUUGUUACUCCCAGAAAGAAAAGCAGUUACUCUAAAGCACACCCACUUGAGCCAACAGCAAUGAUUCCCAACAGAGAAUGAAAUGAAGAAGAGGAAAACACAAAACUCGAUCCCUUUAUUUCAGUUUCUUCUAGCAAAAU